UACAGAGGGUGCAAGCGUUAAUCGGAAUGACUGGGCGUAAAGGGUGCGUAGGUGGUUGUUUAAGUGAGAUGUGAAAUACCUGGGCUUAACCUGGGAACGGCAUUUGAUACUGGACGACUAGAGUAUGGGAGAGGUAAGUGGAAUUUCCGGUGUAGCGGUGAAAUGCGUAGAUAUCGGAAGGAACACCAGUGGCGAAGGCGGCUUACUGGCCUAAUACUGACACUGAGGCACGAAAGCGUGGGGAGCAAACAGG
RNAcentral lists this ribosomal RNA (253 nucleotides) under uncultured bacterium. Its description in RNAcentral is "partial 16S ribosomal RNA". It matches the Rfam family "Bacterial small subunit ribosomal RNA", at positions 524 to 776 of the family's 1533-position model. The record is from RNAcentral.